GACCUAGAGACCGGCGCACGGGUGCGUAACGCGUAUGCAAUCUACCUUUCACAAAGGGAUAGCCCAGAGAAAUUUGGAUUAAUACCUUAUAGUAAUACGACUUGGCAUCAAGAUGUAUUUAAAGAUUUAUCGGUGAAAGAUGAGCAUGCGUCCCAUUAGCUUGUUGGUAAGGUAACGGCUUACCAAGGCAACGAUGGGUAGGGGUCCUGAGAGGGAGAUCCCCCACACUGGUACUGAGACACGGACCAGACUCCUACGGGAGGCAGCAGUGAGGAAUAUUGGACAAUGGGCGCAAGCCUGAUCCAGCCAUGCCGCGUGCAGGAUGACGGUCCUAUGGAUUGUAAACUGCUUUUGUACAGGAAGAAACCCUUUCACGUGUGGAAGAUUGACGGUACUGUAAGAAUAAGGAUCGGCUAACUCCGUGCCAGCAGCCGCGGUAAUACGGAGGAUCCAAGCGUUAUCCGGAAUCAUUGGGUUUAAAGGGUCCGUAGGCGGUCAAGUAAGUCAGUGGUGAAAGCCCAUCGCUCAACGGUGGAACGGCCAUUGAUACUGCUUGACUUGAAUUAUUAGGAAGUAACUAGAAUAUGUAGUGUAGCGGUGAAAUGCUUAGAGAUUACAUGGAAUACCAAUUGCGAAGGCAGGUUACUACUAAUGGAUUGACGCUGAUGGACGAAAGCGUGGGUAGCGAACAGGAUUAGAUACCCUGGUAGUCCACGCCGUAAACGAUGGAUACUAGCUGUUGGGAGCAAUCUCAGUGGCUAAGCGAAAGUGAUAAGUAUCCCACCUGGGGAGUACGUUCGCAAGAAUGAAACUCAAAGGAAUUGACGGGGGCCCGCACAA
This 840-nucleotide ribosomal RNA is filed under the name Flavobacterium xinjiangense. Its description in RNAcentral is "bacterial SSU rRNA". It matches the Rfam family "Bacterial small subunit ribosomal RNA", at positions 85 to 928 of the family's 1533-position model. The record is from RNAcentral. Lineage: Bacteria; Pseudomonadati; Bacteroidota; Flavobacteriia; Flavobacteriales; Flavobacteriaceae.